GAUGAACGCUAGCGGCAGGCUUAAUACAUGCAAGUCGAGGGGCAGCAUGACUGUAGCAAUACAGUUGAUGGCGACCGGCAAACGGGUGCGGAACACGUACAGAACCUUCCUUCGAGCGGGGAAUAGCCCAGAGAAAUUUGGAUUAAUACCCCAUAGUACAACGGAGUGGCAUCACUUUGUUGUUAAAGAUUUAUCACUUGAAGAUGGCUGUGCGGCUGAUUAGGUAGUUGGCGGGGUAACGGCCCACCAAGCCUGCGAUCAGUAACUGGUGUGAGAGCACGACCAGUCACACGGGCACUGAGACACGGGCCCGACUCCUACGGGAGGCAGCAGUAAGGAAUAUUGGUCAAUGGACGAAAGUCUGAACCAGCCAUGCCGCGUGGAGGAUGAAGGUCCUCUGGAUUGUAAACUUCUUUUAUAUGGGACGAAAAAAGGGUUUUCUAACUCGUCUGACGGUACCAUAUGAAUAAGCACCGGCUAACUCCGUGCCAGCAGACGACGG
This 502-nucleotide ribosomal RNA is filed under the name uncultured bacterium. RNAcentral's name for it is "bacterial SSU rRNA". It matches the Rfam family "Bacterial small subunit ribosomal RNA", at positions 28 to 520 of the family's 1533-position model. The record is from RNAcentral.